Non-coding RNA from Chrysemys picta bellii (western painted turtle), 2014 nucleotides. The record is from RefSeq and is a predicted model, not a curated record. NCBI's taxonomy places the organism in Eukaryota, Metazoa, Chordata, Testudines, Emydidae.
UCUUAAAUAUCUCCAGAGAUGGAGAUUCCACAACCUCCCUAGGCAAUUUAUUCCAGUGUUUAACCACCCUGACAGUUAGGAACUUUUUCCUAAUGUCCAACCUAGUCUUAUGACUCUUUAGCACUUCAUCAUUUACCUUUGUGCAGAUGUAUGUCAUUAUGCUAUUUAAUUUAUAUUUUAAUAGCAAAUACUCAUCGAAAAUAUUUAUAAGUAAAUAGUUGCUAGAAGUUUUAGCAAUGACAUCUGAGUUUCUAGUAUAGCACUUGCCGUAUAUAUGCCUCCCAUUGAUAUCCGCAUGAGCUGUUCAUAUGUUCUGGAGGAGAUUUAUGAUCAAAUACCUGUCAAAGUGAAAUGAAAAUCCUAAUUUGGCUAAAAAUAUCCAUUUAAAAACAGUUAAAAGAUUUAGAAAGGUAAGUUAAUGGAUGAAUACAGUAAAGGAAAUGUAUAUUUAAACUACAGGAUCCAACCUAAUAGUUUUGUAAAACACAUUUAAAAAAAUCUUUUAUGGUAUUAAGAAUGUAAUGCUAUUUGGGAAAAAGAAUAAAUCAGUUGUAGAAUAAUUCACUUGCUUUUUUAAUUGAAUGUCAUCUCCAUGCUGUCCCUAGUUGUAACAUGGCUUGCCCAUACAAUGACAAUUUAAUAUUGUAAAGUUAUUUCUUCCAGUUCAUAACAUGAUUUAAUAACUUUUAGAUGUUUCUUUUUGUACAAAAUCUAGAUACCAUGGAGAAGGGAUAAUUAAGAAUGUGCCUUGUAUGUAUCUUCCUGAAUUCUGAGCCAAGUGGAACAAAGCAUUACAAUCCUACAAGCUGUUAGAAACAACUGACCAGGAAUCCAGAACAUUCCAAACUAAUUGUGUUUAUCCAGCCAGAACGGGGAGGAAUGCUCCUACAGUCAGUGGUGGAGAUAGCAUUGCUUACUACCCGCAUAAAUCUAAUCACUGAAGCAAGGUCUGGAAUAAAGAUGCUAAAGAAUUAUACACCAAUGCCAAACAUAAGAGGAAAGUUGUAUACAUAUAAAUCAUAUGCAGCUGUCUCCUAAGUUCAUUUUAAAAUUAAAGAAUUUGAGAUCUUUAAUAUUGUAAGUGUGCUGUAUAUAGAGAAUGUAAAUGUGUAGUUUAAUUUCAUGUACUUCUGUUCAUAGCAGAAAUAAUGACUAAGCAUAACAGUACAGUUUGCUAUUUUUAAAGAAAACUGCUUUUUUUUUUUUAAAUCAGAGCCCGAGUUGCCAUCAAAACACAUAAAAUAGAGUCAGACUUCAUUGUAACCUAAAGAUACAGUGAUGUGUUCUGUAACACACUUUCACUUCAUUUACUGUGUAAAGUUAUUGUGAGAAUUUUGUUAUAUAGCAAUUGUCAAUUAGUAUGUUCCUCUCAGGAACUAGUCAGUAUUUAGAAUUUAAGCAUAAUUUGAUUUUGCCCUAGAAUUAAAAGCAUUGGCAUUUUAAUAAUAAAAUAUCUCAUUAGAUUAGUACAUCUCAAAGUUAUUUUAUCUUGAAUAAAACAGGCAAGGUAUUAACAACUGUAAAUGCGUUUAUUACAAGUUACUUUGCAAGAAUAAUUAGCUAACAUUUAAACAUCAAUUUUGUAAUCAGUCUUCAUUGGCCAAGAUUUUUUUAAAAUUAUACUUCAACAAUUAUGCAAAAAAAGCUUAUGGAACUUUUUCCGUAAAUCCGGAUUUCUGUAAGUCAGGUUUGCGUAACCUGGGGAGCAUCUGUAUUCCUAAAUCCAUAUUGAGGUAAAUCAGUAAAGUAGUUCCGUUCUUAAGUAUCUUGCCAAACUGGAGCCUAGCCUAAUCAGUGGCUGGAAAUGCUGACAACUGUCUUGGUGGCUAUUCCAACUACAAAUAGUAAAAGCCUAUUUGUGAGUUAGAACUGGCUGUACAUGAUGCUCUGCUCACAUUACCGAUGUGUUUUACCUCUAGCAGUUAGGGACUGUAACUACUAAGAAAGCAGUACUUUUUUCUCUAUAUUCCAUUAGUUUCACAAGCCCCACCAUCCAAGUCAGUAUUUUCUGUAU